AAAAAAGAAAUAGUUAAAAAAAAAACAAUGAAUUAAUUACUAAACAAAUUAUUUUGGUGAAAUCGAAAACUGACGAAGCUGUUGAAAGACCUGUAGAAUCAGAUGAAUGUAAAGUUGACAAAAACAAAUCAGUUCCGAGCAAAGAAAUUCAGUCAUUGACUCCACCUGACAAUACAUUGGCUCUGACUGACAAAGCAAUUGAGUUACCAUUAACAGUUUACGAAUCUAGCUCAUCACAACAUGGCACUGUACCAUUUGAAAUGAAAACAAAAUCAUCUGAUGAUCCAACUACUUCAAAAUACUCCAUCAAAUCAUAGAUCUGUCGAAUUGGAGAAAAAAACAGGCCAUCCUCAAGUCGGUUUUACUCGUGUAUCUGAUAAUAGUAUUCAUUUAGGACAAGGUGUUUAUGUAUCCAAAAAUUCAUAUCUGACUGCAGCAAGUAGGUCUAAAACUCCAUCACAAUUUGUUCGGAAAAUGAUCAUGGCUGUAUUCUCACCAAAAGAAUUACAAGACAGUAGUGUUCACAGAGCCAAA
Long non-coding RNA from Cotesia glomerata, 534 nucleotides. RefSeq lists it as uncharacterized. The record is from RefSeq and is a predicted model, not a curated record. The transcript has 4 exons. NCBI's taxonomy places the organism in Eukaryota, Metazoa, Arthropoda, Insecta, Hymenoptera, Braconidae.